CGGGUGGGCACGCAAGGGGCGGGGCGUCGGCGGGGCCUCCAGCCGGCAACCCGUUGGCUGCCGUCGCCUGAGGCGCGAGCUUUGAAGCCGGCGAGCGGUGAGGAGGAGGCGCCCUCGCGUGUGGAGAGCGGACUCCGCCUGGACUCCACCGCCCACGGCCGCAUCCCAUCGCCGCACAAGAUCGCCGGAGUCAUAUUAUCGACGUAGUUAAAGCCCACUAGCCUAAAGCCGGGCGGACUGCGGAAUUCUUUGGCUAUUCUUAGGCCUUUUCUCAUCCAGAUAAGAUACUGAAUCAGCUUAUCAAGGGCCAACUUAUUGAAUUGUUAUUGAAUUUGAGAUGAAUCAAUAAAGAGAAAGGAGAGCCAUGAAAUUAGAAAAACUACCCUAAUUAAGUCUUCCCUUCUAAAAGUCAGGAAAACUAGCAUUACUUGAAAAUGAGUACCAAAAAAACUAAGGUCAAAUCCCAUACAAAGUCAUUAUGAAGAAAAAAAGAGAAUAAAACAUAAUUUCUUUAGAAAAUAAAUUAUGACAGAAAGCCAUGGCUUCAAAACAGAUGAAAACUAAAAUAUUUUAAAAUAAGUUAAUAAACAUCUAAAAUGACAUUAGAUAUGAAAAAAUGACGUGUCAGAUUUAGAAAUAUACAGAAAGGAGAUGACAAACUCAGAAAAGAAGUAAAAAUUUUAAAAACAUUUCAGAAAUGAAGAGAGAAAGAAACACGAGCAAAUAAACAGAACUGAUAAUGCAUUAAAAGAAAAGAUGAAAAAAUAUGAGGCUAUAAAAGAGACGUGUGGUACAGGAUAACGGUCACCCAAAGAUGUCCCCAUCCUAAUCUCCAGAACCUGUGCCUGUGUCACCUGACAUGGCAAAGUGACAGCAAAUGUGACUACCUUAUGGAUCUCAAGAGAGAAGCCUGAUCCUGGAUCAUCUGGCUGAGUCCAGCCUAAUUGCAUGGGUCCUUAACAGUGGAGAGUCGACUGCAGUGGUAUGAAGGAAAUGCAGCUAUGGAAGAAACGGUCUGAGAAAUGGUACAUUGCUGGCUUUGUGGAUGGAGGAAAGUGGUCAUGAGCCAAGGGAUGUGUACUACCUCUAGAAGCUGGAAAAGGGAAGAAAACAGAUUUGCCCUAAAGCCUCCAGAAUGAAAUCCAGACCUACUGACACCCUGGUUUUAGCUCAGUGAGACCCAUGGUGGGCUUCUGAAGGCAAAAUUGUAAGAUAAUAAAUGUGUUAAGACACUAAAUUUAUGGUGAUAUGCUACACAGUGGUAGAAAAUUAGUACAAGAUGAAAAAGAUUUAAAAGGAAAUGACAGAUAUACAUAUAUAGGAAACAGGCAAGGAAGACCCUGUACACAUGGGUACACGUGCAUGCGCACACACACACAGAUAUAUUAGUUCCUAAAGAAAUAAAAUCAGCCAGGCGCGGUGGCUCACGCCUGUAAUCCCAGCACUUUGGGAGGCUGAGACAGGUGGAUCACCUGAGGUCAGGAGUUCAAGACCAGCCUCAACAUGGAGAAACCCUGUCUCUACUAAAAACACAAAAUUAGCUGGGCGUGGUGGUGCAGGCCUGUAAUCCCAGCUACUCAGGAGGCUGAGGCAGGAGACUUGCUUGAACCUGGGAGGCGGAGGUUGCAGUGAGCCGAGAUCGUGCCAUUGCACUCCAUCCUGGGCAACAAGAGUGAAACUCCGUCUCAAAAAAAAAAAAAAAAAAAAGAAAAUCAAAAGGAAUAGAUCCAAACAAACAAGAUGUAUAAUUCAGGAAAGGUUUCCUGAAAUAAGCAUAUACUUGAAACGACAUAUUGAAAGAUUAUCUAAACACCUUGGAAAAUGGAGUCCAAAUAUCCAAUACCAAGACAUUCUAGUAAAAUUAUUGGAAGAGAAAGGAAAGAAGGAAGAAGGGGAAAGAAGGAAGAAGGGGAAAGAGGGAAGAAAUAAAAUUUCUUGGGGUUCCUUUCCCCACCAAAAGAAGAUGCACUGACAUUUUGAAAGAAAAUUAGUUUGACAUCAGAUUUUUCAACAGCAAUGCCUUAUGUCAGAACAAAAUGGAGUUACAUAUUCAGGCCAAGUGUGGUGGCGCACACCUGUAAUCCCAGCACUUUGGGAGGCUGAGGCGGGUGAAUCGCUUGAGCCCAGGAGUUCAAGAGCAUCCAGGGCAAUGUGGCAAAACCCCGUCUCUUCAAAAAAUUAGCCAGGCAUGGUGGCAUGCACCUGUAGUUCCAGCUAUUGAGGAGGCUGAGCUGAAAGGAUCGUUUGAGCCCAGGAGGUUGAGGCUGCAGGGAGCUAUGAUCUGCACUCCAGCCUGAGUAACAAAGUGAGACUCUGUCUCAAAAAAAAUAAAAAAAAUAAAAUAAAAUGAAAAAAGAUACUCGAGGAAAGUAAAGAUAAGCCAAAAUAAUUUUCAAGUAUAAAAGCAGCAAAGUGUUACCAAAAUGCAAAGACUCAGGAAAUACAGUUACCAUAAGCUAUUCCUAAGGAAUCUACUAGUGAACAAGUUUCAAACAGUCACAAUGACUGCAGAGACAUUGACGUAAAGACAGAUGGCAAAUAUUAAGUGGGUGGGUAGGUAGAUACAGCUGUAGAUAUGGCCAGCUGUUUGCUGGAGGCAAUUUGGACAAGCUUAUGAGAGCCAAUGAACUUUUCAAGAAUUUUAUGAGUUGGUUAUUAAACAUAGACAUUAUGAACAGUUAAAGUAUAUACAUGUACGUACAUUUAAAUAAAUUAAAAACAGUAAACACUAAAAACACAUCGCUUCAUAAUUAUGUUACUACAUUUUACAAUUAUCUAUGCUUUUGAGGUUAUUUACAUUGAUUGUAUCAAAUGGUGGAGAUAGGGUCAGCUUCUGCACAUCUUUUCCCGAACUCCACAUUUAAUGAUGUCACCUUGAUAGCUCACCAAUGGUGAAAGUAUUUACUCCAUGGAAAGCUGCAAAAUGCUAUGAAUCAGGGCUUUUUCCCCCUUUUUCUGGAGAGUCUCUUGUUAAACAUUUCCUAGCACAUCAAUGGAUUCAAAAAAGAGAAGCUAGUAUGCAACAGAUCCAUGACUUGACAAUGUAGAUACACCACCACUCUGAAGACAUAUGAGGAGGGCACUGGGAGAGCGUAUGAAAAAUGUCUUUUUAGCCUUUCAGUAAUCAUUUUGGGUGAUAGUGAUGUCAUCGUUAUUCUGAGAAUGGAGUGUGUGCAAUGUCAAUUAAAGCAAAUAAAUAAUCAUAUGAUAUAUUUAAUUGUGUUAUCCUCUCUGUUUUGAAAACCAGGAUUUGGCCGUGGAUGGUGGCUCACACUUGUAGUCCCAGCACUUUGGGAGGCUGAGGCAGGUGGAUCACUUGAGGUCAGGAGUUUGAGAUCAGCUGGCCAACAUGGAGAAAACCCCGUGUCUACUAAAAAAUACAAAAAUUAGGCCGGGCACGGUGGCUCACGCCUGUAAUCCCAGCACUUUGGGAGGCCGAGGCGGGCGGAUCACGAGGUCAGGAGAUCGAGACCAUCCUGGCUAACACGGUGAAACCCCGUCUCUACUAAAAAUACAAAAAAAAAAAUUAGUCGGGCGUGGUGGCGGGCGCCUGUAGUCCCAGCUACUCGGGAGGCUGAGGCAGGAGAAUGGCGUGAACCCGGGAGGCGGAGCUUGCAGUGAGCCGAGAUCGCGCCACUGCACUCCAGCCUGGGCGACAGAGCGAGACUCCGUCUCAAAAAAAAAAAAAAAAAAAAAAAAAAUACAAAAAUUAGCCAGGCCUGGUGGUGGGCGCCUGUAAUCCCAGCUACUUGGGAGGCUGAGGCAGGAGAAUCGCUUGAACCUGGGAGGCAGAGGUUGCAGUGAGUCGAGAUCAUGCCACUGCACUCCAGCCUGGGCAACAGGGCUAGACUCUAUCUCAAAAAAAUAAAUAAAAUAAAAUAAUAAAAAUGUUUCCUCAUCAAGUUAAAAUGUAUGAAGUGAAAUAAAUAUUAGACUUACCCUCUUUAGUUUUUGCUAGCUUCUUAUGUUUAAUAUGUAUAUUUUAUAGUAGUUUUCAUGUGACAAAGAUACUGACUUCCCAAAUGUCAAUAACAAAGGAAGUAAUUUUGCAGUCAAUGAAAGCAUUAUUAUUAUUACUAUUAUUAUUUUGAGACAGAAUUUUGCUCUUGGUGCCCAGGCUGGAGUGCAAUGGCGCGAUCUCGGCUCACUGCAACUUCCAUUUCCCAGGUUCAAGCGAUUCUCCUGCCUCAGCCUCCCAAGGAGCUGGGAUUACAGGCACC
Molecule: long non-coding RNA, 4220 nt
Filed under: Homo sapiens (human)
Lineage: Eukaryota; Metazoa; Chordata; Mammalia; Primates; Hominidae
Description: HSALNT0338473
Source: RNAcentral